GGAGCAGCAGCAGCAGCAGCAGCAGCAGCAACAGCAGCAGCAGUAGCAAACCCCCUGGCUUCCCUGUCUAUGAAAAGAAGGAGGAUCACCCUACUCUUCUCCUGGACUCACUCUGAAUGGAGUAACCAUCUAUCAAGAUGUAGACAACACUCCAUAGCUGCUCUACGACUUUCCCUGGUCACUUCUUUCAAAGGUGACAUUUCUGGUGGGCGUCUGAAGGGGCAAGGCAUCUAUAAACUCAGGAGUCCAAAGAAUCCUGGACCCAACAACCUCAGCCUCACCAAUGCCAUCCAGAGCUCCCUGAGGCUUCUCCACACCCUCAGGCAUCUCUCAGCCCCCACAUCCAGGUCUGGUAUUGAACUCACAGUGGUAUUUAACUCUCUGAUUGAGGUACAGCUCUGAAUGCCAACAAUGCCCCACUCACCAACAAAAGGAAAAACCAUGGUACCUUAGAGAUACAACUGUUAGCCUCUGUCCUCCUUCCACAUUCACUAAGACAUGACAGUGAGGAUUGCUGCACUGAAGAAUGGCUCCAGACACUGAUUAUGGUUCACUACAAACCCCGCAUGCCAGACUUGUGUACAGCCACAAGCAGGGGGUGUCUAACAUAGAAGGGCUGGCCCAGGUUUCUUCUGCAUUCUUAAGGCUGCAGACAAAUGGUACUCACAGUGAUUUGAGACCUGCUUGCACAGGGUUACCAGUUCUCAACCCUGGAAAUGUGGGGCCAGGGCCAAGAAGGGGCUUAUGAUUGACAUUCAUGUAUUUCUCUCCUGCUUCUGGCACAGUUUUCUGGACUGUAAAAUCACAUUGUCCUUCCUGUCUGUCCAGGGGAAGUAGUUGGAAAUCCAGCCAGAAGGAUUGUGUUGUCAGCAACACAGAAGCUGCUGUUCUACAGGGGCCAUACCUGGCGCUCCCGUUUCCUGUUGCAACUGCCCUGCUUUGCACUACCCAUUGGUUUCACCUCAGCUUGGAGCCUGUGCUGCAGUGGCUACAAAAGCUGGAGGAGGCAGAAAGCAGGUAUUAGAUCCACCUGGGACUGCUCACCCAGCUGAUGGCUGCACACACCCUCUCUAGGGUCUGAGGAUAUAUCAUAUCAACUCCUGGAGACCACUCCUGGAGUUGUCUGACUGUGUUGAAAUGGGAAUCUGUUGAAAAUCAUCAUUGCUGGUGGUCAUCGGUCCUAUUCCUCCUUUUAUGGAGAAGAAGAGCGAUCAGGAAUCCUAUAUCAGUGACCUGCUGGAGCUAAACCUGGACCUGGAAGCAAGCAGCAGGAACUCCCUGGGUAAUGAGGACAAUAGGAGCAGCACACAGCAUCUCCACUGCCUCUCAUUCUGCUCCAAAAGCCAUGGCAGCUCCCACACAGCAGGCAUCAAGCCUAACUCCCAGCAGGGAUAAUGUGAUAUAUCUGUGGAUGAGCCCACAGGGACCUCAAGGUUCUAUGGAAGGACAUUUAGUGGUUCCUUGAGCAGCUGCAGCAGCCAGGACACAUGGAACUACAGUGGAGCAGCCACCCAGAGACCUUCGCAGAACUGUGGGUCAUGCUAAUCAGAAUCAGGGUCCAGAGGUCACAUCCCAGGUUGGGGAGGUAGAGGACAACCACAUAGGUGACCAGUAUGUCUGCCUAGUCAUUCAGACAGCUCAUGACUAGCUCCCACAGCGACUUCUGAGGCUGCACACUGGUGGAGUUGCUGGUUUUCAAGAAGUUAACUCCUCUCCAUGGAAUGAAGUUUCUAAGCUUCCUCUCCCUGUACUGGCCAGGUGAAGACCCACUCCUGCAGGACAUUGUGGUGUAGCAAAGAUCUGUACAGCCAUCCCGUCUAUGCCAGCCAGCCCUGAAGGUGGCUUGCUAGCAUUCCAGCACCACCAGCCUUUGUCCAUGUCUGGGCAAGGCAGUUCUUGGCUCUCAACCCAUCUUCCCACCAUAUCAUUCUGUUUUGUCUGCCCACUGGUAGGGGAUGGGGAACCAGCUCUGACACUAGUCUGGGCAUGGGGAAGGUCCAAUUCUCCUGUCCCUGGCUCUCAGCUCCUGGGAUUCUCAGGAGCAAAAGUAUCUGAGAGAAACAAGAGUCAAUGUUAUCCCUGAA
This is a long non-coding RNA of Mus musculus (house mouse), 2084 nucleotides long. RefSeq annotates it as predicted gene, 33889. Lineage: Eukaryota; Metazoa; Chordata; Mammalia; Rodentia; Muridae. The transcript is spliced from 6 exons. The record is from RefSeq and is a predicted model, not a curated record.